GGGUAACCUGCCCAUCAGAAGGGGAUAACACUUGGAAACAGGUGCUAAUACCGUAUAACAAUCGAAACCGCAUGGUUUUGAUUUGAAAGGCGCUUUCGGGUGUCGCUGAUGGAUGGACCCGCGGUGCAUUAGCUAGUUGGUGAGGUAACGGCUCACCAAGGCGACGAUGCAUAGCCGACCUGAGAGGGUGAUCGGCCACAUUGGGACUGAGACACGGCCCAAACUCCUACGGGAGGCAGCAGUAGGGAAUCUUCGGCAAUGGACGAAAGUCUGACCGAGCAACGCCGCGUGAGUGAAGAAGGUUUUCGGAUCGUAAAACUCUGUUGUUAGAGAAGAACAAGGAUGAGAGUAACUGUUCAUCCCUUGACGGUAUCUAACCAGAAAGCCACGGCUAACUACGUGCCAGCAGCCGCGGUAAUACGUAGGUGGCAAGCGUUGUCCGGAUUUAUUGGGCGUAAAGCGAGCGCAGGCGGUUUCUUAAGUCUGAUGUGAAAGCCCCCGGCUCAACCGGGGAGGGUCAUUGGAAACUGGGAGACUUGAGUGCAGAAGAGGAGAGUGGAAUUCCAUGUGUAGCGGUGAAAUGCGUAGAUAUAUGGAGGA
This 600-nucleotide ribosomal RNA is filed under the name Bacillus sp. YM2-2. RNAcentral describes it as "bacterial SSU rRNA". It matches the Rfam family "Bacterial small subunit ribosomal RNA", at positions 119 to 705 of the family's 1533-position model. The record is from RNAcentral. Lineage: Bacteria; Bacillati; Bacillota; Bacilli; Caryophanales; Bacillaceae.